ACAGAUGGGAGCUUGCUCCCUGAUGUUAGCGGCGGACGGGUGAGUAACACGUGGGUAACCUGCCUGUAAGACUGGGAUAACUCCGGGAAACCGGGGCUAAUACCGGAUGGUUGUUUGAACCGCAUGGUUCAAACAUAAAAGGUGGCUUCGGCUACCACUUACAGAUGGACCCGCGGCGCAUUAGCUAGUUGGUGAGGUAACGGCUCACCAAGGCAACGAUGCGUAGCCGACCUGAGAGGGUGAUCGGCCACACUGGGACUGAGACACGGCCCAGACUCCUACGGGAGGCAGCAGUAGGGAAUCUUCCGCAAUGGACGAAAGUCUGACGGAGCAACGCCGCGUGAGUGAUGAAGGUUUUCGGAUCGUAAAGCUCUGUUGUUAGGGAAGAACAAGUACCGUUCGAAUAGGGCGGUACCUUGACGGUACCUAACCAGAAAGCCACGGCUAACUACGUGCCAGCAGCCGCGGUAAUACGUAGGUGGCAAGCGUUGUCCGGAAUUAUUGGGCGUAAAGGGCUCGCAGGCGGUUUCUUAAGUCUGAUGUGAAAGCCCCCGGCUCAACCGGGGAGGGU
RNAcentral lists this ribosomal RNA (571 nucleotides) under Bacillus subtilis. Its description in RNAcentral is "bacterial SSU rRNA". It matches the Rfam family "Bacterial small subunit ribosomal RNA", at positions 69 to 623 of the family's 1533-position model. The record is from RNAcentral. Lineage: Bacteria; Bacillati; Bacillota; Bacilli; Caryophanales; Bacillaceae.